Molecule: ribosomal RNA, 436 nt
Filed under: uncultured bacterium
Lineage: Bacteria
Description: bacterial SSU rRNA
Rfam family: Bacterial small subunit ribosomal RNA
Source: RNAcentral
GUGAGUAACACGUGGGUAACGUGCCCCAAUGACCGGGACAACCCGAGGAAACUCGGGCUAAUACCGGAUGUACUGCACAGUCGUAAGACAGUGCAACAAAGGAAGCUUCGGCCUCCGCAUUGGGAGCGGCCCGCGGCCCAUUAGCUUGUUGGUGAGGUAACGGCUCACCAAGGCUGCGAUGGGUAGCUGGUCUGAKAGGACGAUCAGCCACACUGGGACUGAGACACGGCCCAGACUCCUACGGGAGGCAGCAGUGGKGAAUCUUGCGCAAUGCGCGAAAGCGUGACGCAGCAACGCCGCGUGASGGAAGACGGCCUUCGGGUUGUAAACCUCUUUCAUGAGGGACRAAGGUGCAGGCKCGAAUAGCGUCCUGUWCUGACGGUACCUCCAGAAGAAGCUCCGGCUAACUACGUGCCAACAGCCGCGGUAAUACGUA